CCUACGGGAGGCAGCAGUGGGGAAUAUUGCUCAAUGGCGGAAACCCUGAUGCAGCGACGCCGCGUGAGCGACGAAGUAGUUCGGUAUGUAAAGCUUUUUUAGCAGGGAAGAAGAUGACGGUACCUGAGUAAGAAGCCCCGGCUAACUACGUGCCAGCAGCCGCAGGAAUACGUAGGGGGCAAGCGUUAUCCGGAUUGACUGGGUGUAAAGGGAGCGUAGGCGGCGAUGCAAGCCAGUUGGGAAAGCCCUGGGCUCAACCCCGGGACUGCAUUUGGAACUGUGUGGCUGGAGUGUCGGAGAGGUAGGCGGAAUGCCUAGUGUAGCGGUGAUAUGCGUAGAUAUUGGGAGGAAC
This 352-nucleotide ribosomal RNA is filed under the name uncultured bacterium. RNAcentral's name for it is "partial 16S ribosomal RNA". It matches the Rfam family "Bacterial small subunit ribosomal RNA", at positions 338 to 707 of the family's 1533-position model. The record is from RNAcentral.